AUUAUUUAAGACGAACUAUUAAGAAUGUUAGAGUAGUAGUAGCUAUGAUCUUGAAACUCAAAAAUUUUGGCGGUAUUUUAGACUGUUCAGAGGAACCUGUGAUGUAAUUGAUAAUCCACGAUGAACCUUACUUAAAUUUGUAUUUCAGUUUGUAUACCGCCGUUAUUUGAAAAUUUUUUCAGAACUAUAAUUUUCAAGAUUUUUAAUAAAAAAGUAAGUCAGGUCAAGGUGCAGCUUAUGUUUAAGUAUUUCAUGGGUUACAUUAAAUUUAUUUAAACGGAUUAAUUUUUGAAAUAAAUGUAUGAAGGCGGAUUUGAAAGUAAAUUUUUAAAGAUUAAAAGAUUGACUUUAGCUCUAAAAUAUGCACACAUCGCCCGUCACUCUUGUUAAUAAUAUAAGAUAAGUCGUAACAUAGUAGAGGUACCGGAAGGUGCUUCUAGAAUGACAAUUUAAAGCUUGUUUAGUAAAGCAUUUCAUUUACAUUGAAAAGAUUAUUGUGCAAAUCAAUAUAAAUUGAUAUAGUAUAAUUAUUAAUAUUAUUUGGUUUAUUAAUAUCUAUUAGAAAUAACUAUAAAUUUGGUUUUAGUAUUUUAUAAAGAACUAAUAAUUUUAAUUAUAGAGAAUUAGUAAUUUGAAUGAAUUUUGAAAUAAUUGAAAAAUAUAUAUUUAUAAAGAA
This 676-nucleotide ribosomal RNA is filed under the name Thinophilus sp. 5 SNK-2009. Its description in RNAcentral is "partial 12S ribosomal RNA". The stretch from base 1 to 447 matches the Rfam family "Microsporidia small subunit ribosomal RNA", at positions 723 to 1311 of the family's 1311-position model. The record is from RNAcentral. Lineage: Eukaryota; Metazoa; Arthropoda; Insecta; Diptera; Dolichopodidae.